AACUGCGGAAGGAUCAUUAAAGAGACGUUGCCCUUCGGGGUAUACCUCCCACCCUUUGUUUAUUAUACCUUUGUUGCUUUGGCGGGCCCGUCCUCGGACCACCGGCUUCGGCUGGUCAGUGCCCGCCAGAGGACCUAAAACUCUGUUUGUUCAUAUUGUCUGAGUACUAUAUAAUAGUUAAAACUUUCAACAACGGAUCUCUUGGUUCUGGCAUCGAUGAAGAACGCAGCGAAAUGCGAUAAGUAAUGUGAAUUGCAGAAUUCAGUGAAUCAUCGAAUCUUUGAACGCACAUUGCGCCCCCUGGUAUUCCGGGGGGCAUGCCUGUUCGAGCGUCAUUACAACCCUCAAGCUCUGCUUGGUAUUGGGCUCUGCCGGUCCCGGCAGGCCUUAAAAUCAGUGGCGGUGCCAUUCGGCUUCAAGCGUAGUAAUUCUUCUCGCUUUGGAGACCCGGGUGCGUGCUUGCCAGCAACCCCCAAUUUUUUCAGGUUGACCUCGGAUCAGGUAGGGAUACCCGCUGAACUUAGC
Molecule: ribosomal RNA, 525 nt
Filed under: Pseudeurotium bakeri
Lineage: Eukaryota; Fungi; Ascomycota; Leotiomycetes; Thelebolales; Pseudeurotiaceae
Description: eukaryotic LSU rRNA
Rfam family: 5.8S ribosomal RNA (bases 182-335)
Source: RNAcentral